RNAcentral lists this ribosomal RNA (388 nucleotides) under uncultured Chrysophyceae. Its description in RNAcentral is "partial small subunit ribosomal RNA". It matches the Rfam family "Eukaryotic small subunit ribosomal RNA", at positions 30 to 432 of the family's 1831-position model. Lineage: Eukaryota; Chrysophyceae. The record is from RNAcentral.
GCUUGUCUCAAAGAUUAAGCCAUGCAUGUCUAAGUAUAAACGAAUUUAUACUGUGAAACUGCGAAUGGCUCAUUACAUCAGUUAUAGUUUAUUUGAUGGUCCUUGCUACUUGGAUAACCGUAGUAAUUCUAGAGCUAAUACAUGCAUAAAACCCUAACUUCUGGAAAGGGUGUAUUUAUUAGAUGGAAACCAAUGCGGGGCAACCCGGAAUAUGGUGAUUCAUAAUAACUUUCGGAUCGUUUACGAUGCAUCAUUCAAGUUUCUGCCCUAUCAGCUUUGGAUGGUAGGGUAUUGGCCUACCAUGGUUACCACGGGUAACGGGGAAUUAGGGUUCGGUUCCGGAGAGGGGGCCUGAGAAAUGGCCACCACAUCCAAGGAAGGCAGCAGG